UACGAAGGGGGCGAGCGUUGUUCGGAAUUACUGGGCGUAAAGGGUACGUAGGUUGUUUAUUAAGUUAGAUGUGAAAUCCCAGGGCAUAACCUUGGAACUGCAUCUAAAACUGGUUUACUUGAGUUUAGAAGAGGGUAAUGGAAUUUCUAGUGUAGAGGUGAAAUUCGUAGAUAUUAGAAAGAACGUCGAAGGCGAAGGCGGCCCCCUGGACAGAUACUGACACUCAGAUGCGAAAGCGUGGGUAGCAAACAGG
Molecule: ribosomal RNA, 253 nt
Filed under: uncultured bacterium
Lineage: Bacteria
Description: partial 16S ribosomal RNA
Rfam family: Bacterial small subunit ribosomal RNA
Source: RNAcentral